This 394-nucleotide ribosomal RNA is filed under the name uncultured bacterium. RNAcentral's name for it is "partial 16S ribosomal RNA". It matches the Rfam family "Bacterial small subunit ribosomal RNA", at positions 338 to 729 of the family's 1533-position model. The record is from RNAcentral.
CCUACGGGUGGCAGCAGUGAGGAAUAUUGGUCAAUGGACGAAAGUCUGAACCAGCCAUGUAGCGUGAAGGAUGACGGCCCUAUGGGUUGUAAACUUCUUUUAUAUGGGAGUAAAAGGUUACACGCGUGGGUUUUUGUAUGUACCGUAUGAAUAAGGAUCGGCUAACUCCGUGCCAGCAGCCGCGGUAAUACGGAGGAUUCGAGCGUUAUCCGGAUUUAUUGGGUUUAAAGGGUGCGUAGGUGGUCGGUUAAGUCAGUGGUGAAAUUUUGAGGCUCAACCGCAAAAUUGCAGUUGAAACUGGCAGGCUUGAGUACAGUAGAGGUGGGCGGAAUGCGUGGUGUAGCGGUGAAAUGCUUAGAGAUCACGCAGAACACCGAUUGCGAAGGCAGUUUAC